Molecule: ribosomal RNA, 310 nt
Filed under: uncultured bacterium
Lineage: Bacteria
Description: partial 16S ribosomal RNA
Rfam family: Bacterial small subunit ribosomal RNA
Source: RNAcentral
AAGAGACAGCAGUAGCCGCGGUAAUACAGAGGGUGCGAGCGUUAAUCGGAAUUACUGGGCGUAAAGCGCGCGUAGACGGUUUUGUAAGUCAGAUGUGAAAUCCCUGGGCUCAACCUGGGAACUGCAUUUGAAACUGCAUGGCUAGAGUAUCGAAGAGGGAAGUGGAAUUUCCGGUGUAGCGGUGAAAUGCGUAGAUAUCGGAAGGAACACCAGUGGCGAAAGCGACUUCCUGGUCGAAUACUGACGUUCAUGUGCGAAAGCGUGGGGAGCAAACAGGAUUAGAUACCCCAGUAGUCCCUGUCUCUUAUAU